AUGCACGCUGGCGGCGUGCUUAACACAUGCAAGUCGCACGAUGAAGCCCAGCUUGCUGGGUGGAUUAGUGGCGAACGGGUGAGUAACACGUGAGUAACCUGCCCUUAACUCUGGGAUAAGCCUGGGAAACUGGGUCUAAUACCGGAUAGGAGCGCCUACCGCAUGGUGGGUGUUGGAAAGAUUUAUCGGCUUUGGAUGGACUCGCGGCCUAUCAGCUUGUUGGUGAGGUAAUGGCUCACCAAGGCGACGACGGGUAGCCGGCCUGAGAGGGUGACCGGCCACACUGGGACUGAGACACGGCCCAGACUCCUACGGGAGGCAGCAGUGGGGAAUAUUGCACAAUGGGCGAAAGCCUGAUGCAGCGACGCCGCGUGAGGGAUGACGGCCUUCGGGUUGUAAACCUCUUUCAGUAGGGAAGAAGCGAAAGUGACGGUACCUGCAGAAGAAGCACCGGCUAACUACGUG
RNAcentral lists this ribosomal RNA (465 nucleotides) under uncultured bacterium. Its description in RNAcentral is "partial 16S ribosomal RNA". It matches the Rfam family "Bacterial small subunit ribosomal RNA", at positions 29 to 507 of the family's 1533-position model. The record is from RNAcentral.